This 494-nucleotide ribosomal RNA is filed under the name uncultured bacterium. RNAcentral's name for it is "bacterial SSU rRNA". It matches the Rfam family "Bacterial small subunit ribosomal RNA", at positions 29 to 518 of the family's 1533-position model. The record is from RNAcentral.
AUGAACGCUAGCGACAGGCCUAACACAUGCAAGUCGAGGGGCAGCACAAGGAGCAAUCUGAGGUGGCGACCGGCGCACGGGUGAGUAACACGUAUGCAACCUGCCUGUAAGCGGGGAAUAACCCGUUGAAAGACGGACUAAUACCGCAUAAUACUAAAUUACUGCAUGGUAAUUUAUUUAAACAUUUAUGGCUUACAGAUGGGCAUGCGCAUGAUUAGCUAGUUGGAGAGGUAACGGCUCCCCAAGGCAACGAUCAUUAGGGGUUCUGAGAGGAAGGUCCCCCACACUGGUACUGAGACACGGACCAGACUCCUACGGGAGGCAGCAGUGAGGAAUAUUGGUCAAUGGACGAGAGUCUGAACCAGCCAAGUCGCGUGCAGGAAGAAUGUCCUAUGGAUUGUAAACUGCUUUUGCAGGGGAAUAAAGUGCAUCACGUGUGAUGUUCUGUAUGUACUCUGCGAAUAAGGAUCGGCUAACUCCGUGCCAGCAGCUGC